AUUGAACGCUGGCGGCAUGCUUUACACAUGCAAGUCGAACGGUAACAGGCCUUCGGGUGCUGACGAGUGGCGAACGGGUGAGUAGUGCAUCGGAACGUGCCCAGAGGUGGGGGAUAACGCAGCGAAAGCUGUGCUAAUACCGCAUGUGAUCUGAGGAUGAAAGCGGGGGACCAGGCAGCAAUGUUUGGCCUCGCGCCUUUGGAGCGGCCGAUGUCCGAUUAGGUAGUUGGUGGGGUAAAGGCCUACCAAGCCGACGAUCUGUAGCUGGUCUGAGAGGACGACCAGCCACACUGGGACUGAGACACGGCCCAGACUCCUACGGGAGGCAGCAGUGGGGAAUUUUGGACAAUGGGCGCAAGCCUGAUCCAGCAAUGCCGCGUGCGGGAAGAAGGCCUUCGGGUUGUAAACCGCUUUUGUACGGAACGAAAAGGCUCUGGCUAAUACCUGGGGCUGAUGACGGUACCGUAAGAAUAAGCACCGGCUAACUACGUG
Molecule: ribosomal RNA, 492 nt
Filed under: uncultured bacterium
Lineage: Bacteria
Description: partial 16S ribosomal RNA
Rfam family: Bacterial small subunit ribosomal RNA
Source: RNAcentral